Molecule: ribosomal RNA, 404 nt
Filed under: uncultured bacterium
Lineage: Bacteria
Also listed under: 1 other name
Description: partial 16S ribosomal RNA
Rfam family: Bacterial small subunit ribosomal RNA
Source: RNAcentral
UGGGGAAUCUUAGACAAUGGGCGCAAGCCUGAUCUAGCCAUGCCGCGUGAGUGAUGAAGGCCUUAGGGUCGUAAAGCUCUUUCGCCAGAGAUGAUAAUGACAGUAUCUGGUAAAGAAACCCCGGCUAACUCCGUGCCAGCAGCCGCGGUAAUACGGAGGGGGUUAGCGUUGUUCGGAAUUACUGGGCGUAAAGCGCACGUAGGCGGAUCAGAAAGUUGGGGGUGAAAUCCCAGGGCUCAACCCUGGAACGGCCUCCAAAACUCCUGGUCUUGAGUUCGAGAGAGGUGAGUGGAAUUCCGAGUGUAGAGGUGAAAUUCGUAGAUAUUCGGAGGAACACCAGUGGCGAAGGCGGCUCACUGGCUCGAUACUGACGCUGAGGUGCGAAAGUGUGGGGAGCAAACAGG